RNAcentral lists this ribosomal RNA (509 nucleotides) under uncultured bacterium. RNAcentral's name for it is "bacterial SSU rRNA". It matches the Rfam family "Bacterial small subunit ribosomal RNA", at positions 28 to 526 of the family's 1533-position model. The record is from RNAcentral.
GAUGAACGCUAGCUACAGGCUUAACACAUGCAAGUCGAGGGGCAUCGAGAGGUUAGCUUGCUAACCUUGUCGGCGACCGGCGCACGGGUGAGUAACGCGUAUCCAACCUUCCCCUUAGUAGGGCAUAGCCCGAUGAAAAUCGGAUUAAGACCCUAUGUUCUUCGUAGAUGGCAUCUGAGAUGAAGCAAAGGUUUACCGCUAAGGGAUGGGGAUGCGUCCGAUUAGGUAGUCGGCGGGGCAACGGCCCACCGAGCCUUCGAUCGGUAGGGGUUCUGAGAGGAAGGUCCCCCACAGUGGAACUGAGACACGGUCCAAACUCCUACGGGAGGCAGCAGUGAGGAAUAUUGGUCAAUGGGCGAGAGCCUGAACCAGCCAAGUAGCGUGCAGGAAGACGGCCCUAUGGGUUGUAAACUGCUUUUAUCAGGGGAUAAAGUGCGCCACGUGUGGUGUUUUGUAGGUACCUGAUGAAUAAGGACCGGCUAAUUCCGUGCCAGCCGCCGCAGUAAUAC